GGAGGAAUACCCAAGUCCGGCUGAAGGGAUCGGUCUUGAAAACCGACAGGCGGGUCAUACCGCGCGGGGGUUCGAAUCCCUCUUCCUCCGCCA
RNAcentral lists this transfer RNA (93 nucleotides) under Shouchella clausii. RNAcentral's name for it is "tRNA-Ser". It matches the Rfam family "tRNA". Rfam says of the family: Transfer RNA (tRNA) molecules are approximately 80 nucleotides in length. Their secondary structure includes four short double-helical elements and three loops (D, anti-codon, and T loops). Further hydrogen bonds mediate the characteristic L-shaped molecular structure. tRNAs have two regions of fundamental functional importance: the anti-codon, which is responsible for specific mRNA codon recognition, and the 3' end, to which the tRNAs corresponding amino acid is attached (by aminoacyl-tRNA synthetases). tRNAs cope with the degeneracy of the genetic code in two manners: having more than one tRNA (with a specific anti-codon) for a particular amino acid; and 'wobble' base-pairing, i.e. permitting non-standard base-pairing at the 3rd anti-codon position. Lineage: Bacteria; Bacillati; Bacillota; Bacilli; Caryophanales; Bacillaceae. The record is from RNAcentral.